Molecule: ribosomal RNA, 245 nt
Filed under: uncultured bacterium
Lineage: Bacteria
Description: partial 16S ribosomal RNA
Rfam family: Bacterial small subunit ribosomal RNA
Source: RNAcentral
AGAGUUUGAUCAUGGCUCAGGAUGAACGCUGGCGGCGUGCCUAACACAUGCAAGUCGAGCGAGAAAUCUUGAAAUGAAACUUCGGUAGAUUUUUAAGAUGGAAAGCGGCGGACGGGUGAGUAACGCGUAGGCAACCUGCCUUAUGCAGAGGGAUAGCCAUUGGAAACGAUGAUUAAAACCUCAUAACGCCGGAGAGUCACAUGGUUUUCCGGCCAAAGAUUUAUCGGCAUAAGAUGGGCCUGCGU